AUACGGAGGGUGCAAGCGUUAUCCGGAUUUAUUGGGUUUAAAGGGUGCGUAGGCGGUUUGAUAAGUCAGCGGUGAAAUAUUUCAGCUUAACUGGAAGGGUGCCGUUGAUACUGUCGAGCUUGAAUUUAGUUGCUGUGGGUGGAAUGUGGGGUGUAGCGGGGAAAUGCAUAGAUAUCACACAGAAUAUCGAUUGCGAAGGCAGCUCACAAAGCUAAUAUUGACGCUGAUGCACGAAAGUGUGGGGAUCAAACAGGAUUAGAUACCCUGGUAGUCCACACUGUAAACGAUGAUAACUCGCUGUCGGCGAUACAUAGUCGGUGGCCAAGCGAAAGCGAUAAGUUAUCCACCAGGGGAGUACGACCGCAAGGUUGAAACUCAAAGGAAUUGACGGGG
RNAcentral lists this ribosomal RNA (393 nucleotides) under uncultured bacterium. RNAcentral describes it as "partial 16S ribosomal RNA". It matches the Rfam family "Bacterial small subunit ribosomal RNA", at positions 523 to 918 of the family's 1533-position model. The record is from RNAcentral.